GGCUGAACCUGUAUUAGAACCCAGGCUUGUUUCCCAGCGCAGCCGGGUCCCAGAAAAAUCCCCCUGAUUUUAUCUAUUUAUUUUUUUAACCUGGAAUAGCAGCAGGGAAAGCAUUAGAGGCAAAAGGAAAGGAUUUUCAUUUUUCCAGGAAUGCUGAAGUCAGGACUGUUUGAGGGGAACCCUGUGUUUGUCAGACUCGCCAGUACCGUUUACAUCAGAUCUGGGGCAGCUUUUAAAAAUAUGCAGAUUCAUGACUGCUACCCCCACCUCACUGCUUGGCAGCCCACAGGUGCCUUCCCUGUUUCUUCCUUCUGGGUUGUGAUAGGCUUGUCUGCAGUCCGAAGCACCUGAUAAGAAUUGUAGUUAAAUGGAAUGUAUCAGCCCAGCUUCUAGGGAAUUAACCAUGAAUAAGACACAGCCACUGCUUUCAAUCUGAUAAGGUUCCCCUCUUCCAAGAUGGGUGCCAAAUGACGAGUAUCAGGUGUCUAUGGCAAGAUUUGGGGAGGAUCCCAGACCUUAACAGCCCUUUGGUUGAAUCCUCUCACAAUGUGGCAGAGAUGGGGUUUCACUGUGUUAGCCAGGAUGGUC
Molecule: long non-coding RNA, 588 nt
Organism: Cercocebus atys (sooty mangabey)
Lineage: Eukaryota; Metazoa; Chordata; Mammalia; Primates; Cercopithecidae
Exons: 3
Source: RefSeq, a predicted model, not a curated record